GUGGGGAAUAUUGGACAAUGGGCGAAAGCCUGAACCAGCCAUGCCGCGUGCAGGAAGACGGUCCUAUGGAUUGUAAACUGCUUUUAUUUGGGAAUAAACUCCGGUACGUGUACCGGCCUGGAGGUACCAAAUGAAUAAGCACCGGCUAACUCCGUGCCAGCAGCCGCGGUAAUACGGAGGGUGCAAGCGUUAUCCGGAAUCAUUGGGUUUAAAGGGUCCGCAGGCGGUCUUAUAAGUCAGUGGUGAAAGCCUACAGCUCAACUGUAGAACUGCCAUUGAUACUGUAGGACUUGAAUUCGAUCGAAGUGGGCGGAAUGUGACAUGUAGCGGUGAAAUGCUUAGAUAUGUCACAGAACACCGAUAGCGAAGGCAGCUCACUAGGUCUGGAUUGACGCUCAGGGACGAAAGCGUGGGGAGCAAACAGGAUUAGAAACCCCAGUAGUCC
RNAcentral lists this ribosomal RNA (445 nucleotides) under uncultured bacterium. RNAcentral's name for it is "partial 16S ribosomal RNA". It matches the Rfam family "Bacterial small subunit ribosomal RNA", at positions 354 to 796 of the family's 1533-position model. The record is from RNAcentral.